RNAcentral lists this ribosomal RNA (301 nucleotides) under uncultured bacterium. RNAcentral's name for it is "partial 16S ribosomal RNA". It matches the Rfam family "Bacterial small subunit ribosomal RNA", at positions 509 to 809 of the family's 1533-position model. The record is from RNAcentral.
CAGCAGCCGCGGUAAUACGUAGGUGGCAAGCGUUGUCCGGAAUUAUUGGGCGUAAAGCGUGCGCAGGCGGUUUGUUAAGACAGAUGUGAAAUCCCCGGGCUCAACCUGGGAACUGCAUUUGUGACUGGCAAGCUAGAGUAUGGCAGAGGGGGGUGGAAUUCCGCGUGUAGCAGUGAAAUGCGUAGAUAUGCGGAGGAACACCGAUGGCGAAGGCAGCCCCCUGGGCCAAUACUGACGCUCAUGCACGAAAGCGUGGGGAGCAAACAGGAUUAGAUACCCGAGUAGUCCCUGUCUCUUAUAA